RNAcentral lists this ribosomal RNA (496 nucleotides) under uncultured bacterium. RNAcentral describes it as "partial 16S ribosomal RNA". It matches the Rfam family "Bacterial small subunit ribosomal RNA", at positions 29 to 507 of the family's 1533-position model. The record is from RNAcentral.
AUGCACGCUGGCGGCGUGCCUCAUCCCUGCCAGUCGCGCGAACAGACGAGGAGCUUGCUCCUCUGACGUUAGCGGCGGACGGGUGAGUAACACGUGGAUAACCUACCUAUAAGACUGGGAUAACUUCGGGAAACCGGAGCUAAUACCGGAUAAUAUAUUGAACCGCAUGGUUCAAUAGUGAAAGACGGUUUUGCUGUCACUUAUAGAUGGAUCCGCGCCGCAUUAGCUAGUUGGUAAGGUAACGGCUUACCAAGGCAACGAUGCGUAGCCGACCUGAGAGGGUGAUCGGCCACACUGGAACUGAGACACGGUCCAGACUCCUACGGGAGGCAGCAGUAGGGAAUCUUCCGCAAUGGGCGAAAGCCUGACGGAGCAACGCCGCGUGAGUGAUGAAGGUCUUCGGAUCGUAAAACUCUGUUAUUAGGGAAGAACAAAUGUGUAAGUAACUAUGCACGUCUUGACGGUACCUAAUCAGAAAGCCACGGCUAACUACGUG